RNAcentral lists this ribosomal RNA (163 nucleotides) under uncultured Chlamydiales bacterium. RNAcentral's name for it is "partial 16S ribosomal RNA". It matches the Rfam family "Bacterial small subunit ribosomal RNA", at positions 347 to 504 of the family's 1533-position model. The record is from RNAcentral. Lineage: Bacteria; Pseudomonadati; Chlamydiota; Chlamydiia; Chlamydiales.
AGCUGCAGUCGAGGAUCUUUCGCAUGGGCGCAGCCUGACGAAGCGACACUGCGUGAGUGAUGAAGGCCUUUGGGUUGUAAAACUCUUUCGCGCAAGAACAAGGAAGGGAUGUGAAUAACAUCCUGACUUGAGGGUACUGCGUAAAGAAGCACCGGCUAACUCC